Molecule: long non-coding RNA, 1395 nt
Filed under: Oryctolagus cuniculus (rabbit)
Lineage: Eukaryota; Metazoa; Chordata; Mammalia; Lagomorpha; Leporidae
Description: lncRNA (ENSOCUG00000038815.1)
Source: RNAcentral
UGGAAAUCUACCACAGAGAAAACAGGGAAGAAAAUAGAGAACAACAAGUUGUGGAAGAGGGAACGUCACAUUAAUAUUGAUGAUUGGCUAAGAUUAGGUAUCUGGUAUCUGCCCCUCCUGACUGUGGUCAACUCUCAUGCUUACUGUUUUCUCACAGUCCUGCUUCAAGAAUUUGCCAAUAAACAAUGAAAAAAACACUGCAGACAGGUCUCCUUCUUUUCUGCAUAGAAAUUGAUAAUCCUUAGAUUUCAUGGUGUUGACUUUAUCAACUUACACUGAGCCUUGAACUUAAGCAGCUCUUGUCUUUUUGCUGUUCUCUUAGGUUCUGUACAUAUCGAUGAUAAGAAUGAUCUGAGGGAUUAUGUCCAGUUUAAUUGAAGGCUUCAUCCCUGGCCAUCUGGCUUUGCCUACCUGUAAUCUUGAGUUAUGCCCUACUCCUUGAACUCUACUGGAGACAAGCUCUGACUUCCAGCCUUCCACUCCCUAAACAUGUGGUUUAUCUGUGAGCUCGAGAUGCAGAGACUCCAAGGACUACUCCCAAUAAAAAGCCUAGCCACUUCUGCCUGUUUAAACACCCAUCUCUGUGCCCUAUGUUUAAUAUGUUUCUCAUUGAAGUAGACAAGAAAUUGUAGGAUAAAUGACACAAAAGGUAGAACUGUGUGGAGAAAGUCCGUGUCACUGCCUACCAAUCAGUUGCUCCUUUGCCUAAUGGAUGGGGAGUGGAAUUAGAUCAUCUCCAUACUUCUUCCUGCUCCAUCUAUGACUCUAGAUGCAUCAAUGCCUGUAAUAAAUCUCUAUGGGCAAAACAUGAUCGUCAUUUCCAGGCCAUCAGGUGAUCUCUGCGCUCAUUGGGAUGAAACAGUUAUGUCUCCCUUGCUCAACACAGUCUUUUCUUCCUACAGCCUUUGCUCUCCAGUGUAGACUCUGUACCAACUACUAUCUAGGAGUUUGUGUAUCUACAGAGGCAACAUGUAUUGCUGAGAAUGGUGCCGUCUGCAGAGGUUAUAGACUGUCUUCUAAAAACAAUAUGUCUUUCCCAUCUCUUGGAUAUAAUGUUUGUGCACAUGAUUGUAACCCCUUCUACACAUCUUGGAGUGAUUCUGGAAGUCUGCUAUUCUGCUGUAGUAAUCGUGAUAUGUGCAAUGAUGUUCCUGAGCCAGUCGAUCAAUAUAUAGCAGCAGUACCUUUCUUCCCUUCUAAUUAGUUUAUCACUGGUUCUUCCUAGGUUUAAUUUUCACCAUGGACUAGCAGUUUCUCCAGGCACUUAAUACCCUGGAGCAAAGGACCCUGAGUAAGACACAGUCUUCAUCUUUAAACAGAUUCACUGUCAGCACAGUCACAUCCGCCUUAUCAUUUUCUCCUAAUAAAUGUUAAUUUGUCUGACUCUUUAUUUCA